This 253-nucleotide ribosomal RNA is filed under the name uncultured bacterium. Its description in RNAcentral is "partial 16S ribosomal RNA". It matches the Rfam family "Bacterial small subunit ribosomal RNA", at positions 524 to 776 of the family's 1533-position model. The record is from RNAcentral.
UACGUAGGGUGCAAGCGUUGUCCGGAAUUAUUGGGCGUAAAGAGCUCGUAGGCGGUUUGUCGCGUCUGCUGUGAAAACUCGGGGCUUAACCCCGGGCCUGCAGUGGGUACGGGCAGACUAGAGUGCGGUAGGGGAGACUGGAAUUCCUGGUGUAGCGGUGAAACGCGCAGAUAUCAGGAGGAACACCGGUGGCGAAGGCGGGUCUCUGGGCCGUAACUGACGCUGAGGAGCGAAAGCGUGGGGAGCGAACAGG